Molecule: ribosomal RNA, 460 nt
Filed under: uncultured bacterium
Lineage: Bacteria
Description: partial 16S ribosomal RNA
Rfam family: Bacterial small subunit ribosomal RNA
Source: RNAcentral
CCUACGGGAGGCAGCAGUGAGGAAUAUUGGUCAAUGGGCGCGAGCCUGAACCAGCCAAGUCGCGUGAGGGAAGACGGUCCUAUGGAUUGUAAACCUCUUUUGUCGGGGAGUAAAAGACGCCACGCGUGGCUUUUCGUGAGUACCUUAUGAAAAAGCAUCGGCUAACUCCGUGCCAGCAGCCGCGGUAAUACGGAGGAUGCGAGCGUUAUCCGGAUUUACUGGGUGUAAAGGGAGCGUAGACGGCAAGGUAAGUCAGAAGUGAAAGGUCGGGGCUCAACCCUGUACAUGCAUUUGGAACUGGGAGGCUAGAGUACAGGUGAGGUAGGUGGAAUUCCUGGUGUAGCGGUGAAAUGCGUAGAUAUUAGGAAGAACACCGAGGGCGAAGGCAGCUUACUAAACUGUAACUGACAUUGAGGCUCGAAAGCGUGGGGAGCAAACAGGAUUAGAUACCCGGGUAGUC